UACGUAGGGUGCGAGCGUUAAUCGGAAUUACUGGGCGUAAAGCGUGCGCAGGCGGUUCGCUGUGUCCGAUGUGAAAGCCCCGGGCUUAACCUGGGAAUGGCAUUGGAAACUGGCGGGCUUGAGUGCGGCAGAGGGGGGUGGAAUUCCGCGUGUAGCAGUGAAAUGCGUAGAUAUGCGGAGGAACACCAAUGGCGAAGGCAAUCUCCUGGACCUGCACUGACGCUCAUGCACGAAAGCGUGGGGAGCAAACAGG
RNAcentral lists this ribosomal RNA (253 nucleotides) under uncultured bacterium. RNAcentral's name for it is "partial 16S ribosomal RNA". It matches the Rfam family "Bacterial small subunit ribosomal RNA", at positions 524 to 776 of the family's 1533-position model. The record is from RNAcentral.